UGGGGAAUUUUCCGCAAUGGGCGAAAGCCUGACGGAGCAAUACCGCGUGAGGGAGGAAGGCUUUUGGGUUGUAAACCUCUUUUCUUAAGGAAGAAGAACUGACGGUACUUAAGGAAUCAGCAUCGGCUAACUCCGUGCCAGCAGCCGCGGUAAUACGGAGGGGGCAAGCGUUGUUCGGAAUUACUGGGCGUAAAGGGCGCGUAGGCGGUCUGUCGCGUCAGGUGUGAAAGCCCCGGGCUCAACCUGGGAGGUGCACUUGAUACGGGCGGACUGGAAUCCGGGAGAGGAUGGUGGAAUUCCCAGUGUAGAGGUGAAAUUCGUAGAUAUUGGGAAGAACACCGAUGGCGAAGGCAGCCAUCUGGCCCGGGAUUGACGCUGAGGCGCGAAAGCGUGGGGAGCAAACAGGAUUAGAUACCCGUGUAGUCC
RNAcentral lists this ribosomal RNA (426 nucleotides) under uncultured prokaryote. RNAcentral's name for it is "bacterial SSU rRNA". It matches the Rfam family "Bacterial small subunit ribosomal RNA", at positions 355 to 796 of the family's 1533-position model. The record is from RNAcentral.